UACAGAGGGUGCAAGCGUUGUUCGGAAUUAUUGGGCGUAAAGCGCGUGUAGGCGGCCUAGCAAGUUGGGUGUGAAAGCCCUCGGCUUAACCGAGGAAGUGCGCCCAAAACUACAAGGCUUGAGUACCGGAGAGGGUCGCGGAAUUCCCGGUGUAGAGGUGAAAUUCGUAGAUAUCGGGAGGAACACCGGUGGCGAAGGCGGCGACCUGGGUCGACACUGACGCUGAGGCGCGAAAGCUAGGGGAGCAAACAGG
Molecule: ribosomal RNA, 253 nt
Filed under: uncultured bacterium
Lineage: Bacteria
Description: partial 16S ribosomal RNA
Rfam family: Bacterial small subunit ribosomal RNA
Source: RNAcentral